CAUAUUCUUCCCGGAAACUUAACCCAAUUCUCUCUCUGCUGCGUUUACCCAAUUCAUUUUUCCUUUUCUCUUCACUAAGAUUCAAAUGAAAACCAAAGAAUAGCAAUAACCCUAUUCAUUUUUCCUUUUCUCACUACAGUCCUUUUCUUCAAAUAUGUAGAGAUUGCUGCUUCAAAUGGAUAAUAUCAUUGACUUUUUGGUCUUAAGGUGCUUUUUGUUUAUGUUCUUUUCAAUUAAAGAUUCACAAGGAAAUACCAAAAAGCUCAAAGUGAAGAAAACAGAAGUGUUAAAUUUACCUCGGGGGGAAUGUAUUGUGGUUCCAUUUGAUUUUCUGGAUCCAAUAGACGAAGCACAAGUCGUUCUCGCAGGCUUUUGUGGUAUUUUAGAAAGUGACUGUUCCAUAUUUCCAAUUAGCUUUUAUAAAUGGCCGGAUAUGCCCGAAUCAUAUUUCAACGACUGCUUUGAUAACAUUACAAAGUUAUAAGCUCUAUAAUGUUACAACCAUAUCUUUAUUUUAUAUCUUUCGACUUUAUAUUUGUAUGUAAAAGGUAAAUUAACCAAUUUUAUUUUCAAAGCCCCACUUUCAUUUUAUGACAAUUGAGGAUGUUGCAUGGUUAUAUGCUUAUCACUCUAUUGAAAAGAAGUGGGCUAGAAAUAGGCAGGCCUUGUGGAAUGAGUUCAAAGACCCACUUAAGACCAAAGAUGAAAUCAGGAAUAAUGUUCCAGAAGGUAUAACUCGGGAUCAGUGGGCUUCUUAUGUGAACUACCGUUUGAGAAAUGAUACUCAGAAAAUGUGUAAAAGAAAUGCCGAAAAUCGAAAAAAGCAAACAGUUCCACACACGGGUGGCUCAAAGCCGAACUCUAGAAGAAGGGCUGAAAUGGUAAAUGAUGUCACCUUGUUAUUUAUUGCUCAUGAAUUCUUAUUCUUCUUCUUCUUCUUCUUCUUCUCGCUUUCGAUUUUCACCAUUAUUAGGGGAUAAGCCAUCUUCCACUAAAGACUGAUCACUAUAAGUGUUUGCAGUGAGAAGAUGUUAAAAUUGCUAAUUUAGGUAAGCUUACAUUAAUGUUAAAAAUCCAAUUCAGGAGGAGGGGUGUUGGAUUCUUUCCUCUCAGUGUCAUUGGCAGUAUUGGCUGUUGUUUCCUCAGAAUUACCAUCUUUUUAAUCAGCAAAAAAGUCCAUUUCAUCAAUGAUUGGUCCGUUUUGAGACUUUAGACUUGAGACUAGGGAAGGAAGACCAAAUACUAGUUGAGACCAAAUUCUAAUAGGCUGUAAAUACAUUUUCGUUUUCGUGUAUUUUAGUUCUCUAAAACUACGUUUGUCUACUUAAACCUCAACCAUACAGUUGGUAGUGAAAUCCUCUUUUUUUCUUUUUCUAUUUGCUUUGUUGUUCAUUAUUGCUAAUAUUAAUCUCCAUGUAGUUUAAAUAUACAUUGCUUGCAUUCUGUUUUCUUUUCCUUUGUAUGGGGUUGUGUGUAUGGAUGCACAUGUUUAGUUCAAUGCAGCUUUUCUUUUUUCUUAGGGUGUUUGGCUGAAACAUUAGUAGUAUGACUCUUUCCAGUUCCCUUUUGUUCAAAGUAAGUUUGGUGUAAGUAGCUUAGUUCUCGGCUAUUAGAUCAUGUGUAGAUUAUGCAGGUACAAUCUAGUUUACUUCCUUUCCUAAUGUUCUUUGCAGGUGUAAUUAGUUUAAGAUCUUUAAUGCAUUUGAUGGAUAUUGUUUUCAUGUUGGUAUAAUGUUGACUCAAUUUUUUUUGAUUAUGUACGUUUUAUCCUUCAAGGAUAAAACAACCGUCCUACCUUGGUAGGAGUAAGGUCUGCGUACACUCUACCCUCCCCAGACCCCACGUUGUGGGAUUUCACUGGGUUGUUGUUGUUGUUGUUAUCCUUCAAGGACACCUCAUACGUUUUGACAUGUCGGGCAUCCUUGUUAUCCUUGUUGCCAUUCGCUUGAUGUCUUUUGUCAACUAUCUUUAUGGGUGAUAUAAAGAAGAAAAGAGUUCAUUAUUUGCAAGUUACAAUUUGGAGUGUGUUCUUUUGACUGCUAAUGAUCACAUCUUGGUAAUGUAUUCACAAAUCGCUCUUUU
Lycium barbarum (goji berry) is the source of this 2082-nucleotide long non-coding RNA. RefSeq lists it as uncharacterized. The record is from RefSeq and is a predicted model, not a curated record. The transcript is spliced from 3 exons. NCBI's taxonomy places the organism in Eukaryota, Viridiplantae, Streptophyta, Magnoliopsida, Solanales, Solanaceae.